AGUGAACGCUGGCGGUAGGCCUAACACAUGCAAGUCGAACGGCAGCACCGUAAGAGCUUGCUCUUACGGGUGGCGAGUGGCGGACGGGUGAGGAGUGCAUCGGAAUCUACUUUUUCGGGGGGGAUCAGGAAGGGGAACUUACGCUAAUACCGCAUACGCCCUACGGGGGAGAGCAGGGGAACUUCGGACCUUGCGCGAUUGAAUGAGCCGAUGUCGGAUUAGCUAGUUGGCGGGGUAAAGGCCCACCAAGGCGACGAUCCGUAGCUGGUCUGAGAGGAUGGUCAGCCACACUGGAACUGAGACACCGUCCAGACUCCUACGGGAGGCAGCAGUGGGGAAUAUUGGGCAAUGGGCGCAAGCCUGAUCCAGCCAUACCGCGUGGGUGAAGAAGGCCUUCGGGUUGUAAAGCCCUUUUGUUGGGAAAGAAAAGCAGCAGGUUAAGACCCCGCUGUUCUGACGGUACCCAAAGAAUAAGCACCGGCUAACUUCGUG
Molecule: ribosomal RNA, 492 nt
Filed under: uncultured bacterium
Lineage: Bacteria
Description: partial 16S ribosomal RNA
Rfam family: Bacterial small subunit ribosomal RNA
Source: RNAcentral